CCGCGGGAUGGGGCCCGGGCCGCGGAGGAGGCGCCGCUGCUGUGUUCUUUGGUGGCGAGGGCGCUGCCCGGCCCUGCGCGGUUUCCAGCCAGGAAGCUUCGAGAAUCCUGGACGUGUGCUCACUGGAAACGGCAUGUGCUUGGGGUGUUGGUAUUCUUUGUUAUUUAACACAGGAAGGAGGUGACUUCGCCUGUGAUGGACUUCCAGUGUGAGCACUGGCCAGGGUGACCAGGCUGACCUGCACCAGCCCUGAUCAAGAUGCAGAGGCCGGGAUGUGGGCCCAGCCCUGUGCAGGAGGCUGGCUGGAAUAAAGGUACAGAUACAGGCCUUGCCCCCUCUGGGACCACUGGCACUCGGGGUGUUUGCAGCCUCAGAGCCCAGCUUUCCACAUGCCCACCUGCUCCCAGGGCCACAGCUGCAUCUCCUGCUCUGCUUUCAUUACAGGGAUGAGCAGGCUGGCAUUGGGGCACUCGCUGCCCCUGCCUGGGUAGUGCUGUGUAUUCCAGCCAGGGGCCACUGCCAGGACCACCCCUCCAUUUUCAUAUCGCGAUUCUUAAGUUCUGCCAUUGUGGUAUUCUGGUGGAAAAAAAAAAAAAACGGUUGCUUGGCUGUUUUUGAACUGCCUGGAACCUAAGAUCCUGAAUUUUCCCCUCUAAGGGGGAAAAUAUAUAUGGAAAACGUUUAUUUUGAAAUACAGAAUGAAGUGAAUUAAAAGCUUUAAUGCACACUUCUUCAAGGAUAGUAUUUCUGUGUUGGCAAAAUUUGAGAAUAAAUUGGCCUUGAACGGAA
Long non-coding RNA from Mandrillus leucophaeus (drill), 789 nucleotides. RefSeq lists it as uncharacterized. The record is from RefSeq and is a predicted model, not a curated record. Lineage: Eukaryota; Metazoa; Chordata; Mammalia; Primates; Cercopithecidae. The transcript has 4 exons.